AGCAUAAGUGCUGGAUCAUGUGGUAAGAAUGUUUAGGUUUUUAAGAAACUGCCAAACUGUCUCCCGAAGUGGCUGUAGUAUUUUGCAUUUCCACCAGCAGU
This 101-nucleotide microRNA precursor is filed under the name Marmota monax (woodchuck). Lineage: Eukaryota; Metazoa; Chordata; Mammalia; Rodentia; Sciuridae. The record is from RNAcentral.